UACAGAGGUCUCAAGCGUUGUUCGGAUUCAUUGGGCGUAAAGGGUGUGUAGGUGGCGCGCUAAGUCGGGUGUGAAAUUUCGGAGCUUAACUCCGAAACUGCAUUCGAUACUGCCGUGCUUGAGGACUGGAGAGGAGACUGGAAUCUACGGUGUAGCGGUGAAAUGCGUAGAUAUCGUAAGGAAGACCAGUGGCGAAGGCGGGUCUCUGGACAGUUCCUGACGCUGAGGCACGAAGGCCAGGGGAGCAAACGGG
Molecule: ribosomal RNA, 253 nt
Filed under: uncultured bacterium
Lineage: Bacteria
Description: partial 16S ribosomal RNA
Rfam family: Bacterial small subunit ribosomal RNA
Source: RNAcentral